AGCGAACGCUGGCGGCAGGCCUAACACAUGCAAGUCGAGCGCCCGUAGCAAUACGGGAGCGGCAGACGGGAGAGUAACACGUGGGAACGUGCCCUUCAGUUCGGAACAACCCAGGGAAACUUGGGCUAAUACCGGAUACGCCCUUACGGGGAAAGAUUUAUCGCUGAAGGAGCGGCCCGCGUCUGAUUAGCUAGUUGGUGAGGUAACGGCUCACCAAGGCGACGAUCAGUAGCUGGUCNGAGAGGAUGAUCAGCCUCACUGGGACUGAGACACGGCCCAGACUCCUACGGGAGGCAGCAGUGGGGAAUAUUGGACAAUGGGCGCAAGCCUGAUCCAGCCAUGCCGCGUGGGUGAUGAAGGCCCUAGGGUU
Molecule: ribosomal RNA, 370 nt
Filed under: uncultured bacterium
Lineage: Bacteria
Description: bacterial SSU rRNA
Rfam family: Bacterial small subunit ribosomal RNA
Source: RNAcentral